Molecule: small nucleolar RNA, 135 nt
Organism: Labeo rohita (rohu)
Lineage: Eukaryota; Metazoa; Chordata; Actinopteri; Cypriniformes; Cyprinidae
Source: RefSeq, a predicted model, not a curated record
AUUGAGGUCUGUCCUGACUUGCUCUUCUCAGUAGAGCUUAGUCGUUGGAAACGCCUCAAAGAUAAAGUCUGUGGUAUCGCUUUACCCCAUGUCGCUAAAUUUAUUAGCUUUGUGGGAAAACACUGCAGUACAUUC